UCUGCCAAGGAGGAGACUCAUAUUGGCAGCUACAUGCUCCUCAAGACCAUUGCCAAGGGAACCUUUGCCAAGGUGAAGUUGGCCUGGUACAUCCCGACUGGCACACAGGUGGCUGCAAAGGUCAUUUACAAGUGUGGAACUCCAGCCUCCAGAGACUAUCUCAUGAAGACAUCAUGAAGGUAUUGUAUCAUUCCAACAUUGUGAAAUUAUUUGAGUUGAUCGAGACCAAGGAAGCACUUUACCUAGUCGUGGAGCAGGCUAGUGAGAGAGAGGUAUUUGAGUACCUAGUGGCUCAUGGCAGCCUGAAGAAGAAGAAAACCUGAAGCAAUUUCCACCAGAUAGUGUGGGCUGUGCUAUGUGAUAGUAUUGCUGCCAGAAGUGUAGUAUUGCCCAUAGGGACCUGAAGGCAGAAUAGUUGCUUUUGGAUGCUGACGUGAACAUCGAGACUGCAGGCUUGGGCUUCUUUGGCAACAAGCUGGGUACCUUCUGUGGUAGUGCCCCUCAUGCCACCCAGAACUCUUCCAGGGCCAAAGUAAGGUGGCCCCAGGGUAGAGGUGUACAGCCUGGAGGCUUCCUGUAUAUCUAGUGAUCACAUCCCAGCCCUUUGAUGGACAGAACCCUAAGGAGCUGCGGGAGUAGUGAGAGCUGAGAGGAACAUUUGGUAUUUGUUUCUACCUGUCCAUGGAGUGCGAAAACCUGUUCAAGUGAAUCCUCAUGCUCAAUCCAGCAAGAGAGGCCCUCCUAUGGGGAGAAACUAAAGCUUUGCGUUGAGUCAUUCUCUGACUACAAAGACCUGGGCAGGCAGAACUGAUGGUGUCCAUGGGUCGUACAUGGGAAGGGAUCCAGGACUAGUUGCAGGACAAUGAAGUGUUGGCCACCUAUCUUCUCCCAGGCUACAAGAGAUCCAAGCUGGAGGCUUGGAUCAUACCCCUGAAACUAAUGCCUGCAACUGAUCCCGCUACCAAGCUGCCCUCCUUCCCCAUCCACAAGGUACAGUGUAUCAUCCCUGCCAACCCAAAACAGCAGAGAUGCAGUGAGCCUGCCAUUCCUACCUUUACUUCAUACUCUGAGAAUAGUCGAAGGAACAACACAGAAAUCAGAGGCCUGAGGAGGACCUGGAGUCAGGGCAGAAGCCAGCAGCACAGCUAACGUGCCUGCUAGUCCCCUACCUGGCCUGGAGAGAGGACCACUCCCCCUGCACAGCCCCCCAGUGAGGCCCUGUGGCCUCCCCCUUCACCCACACCCCAGCAACAGUGGUGGAGCCCCAGGUGGAACCAACUUCCCCCAGGGCGUCUCCUAUAGAGAAAACUAAGUGCACACUGGGCACCUUGGACAGGUGCAGGAUCAGUAGAAUUUGCCCAAGGUAUGACCCAGCCUUUCCCUAUGGAAACAGCCAGUGCUGGCAGGGGACCACGGGGAGGUUCUUCAACUUCCUCUGCAGGCACCUGUGUUUCAGGUUAGCCAGAAAGAACCAGCCUGAGGCUGAAAGCAGAGUGCAGAUAGCGAAACCUCAGGUGGUGGACAGCAGGGCAAGGUUGAGCACAGGAAAGAAUGUGGGAGGUCAAGCUAGCUCCUGGCACUUGCCAUGAGGCAAGGAAGUCCUGAGCUCCAGGGAGCCCAAGGAGAUGGGGCAGGAAAUGGGCCAUGCUGGAGGCAAACAGCUGUGGGUAGGAGUGAGCAGAAAACACACACUGCUGUGCAUGGCCCGCCUGGCUGAGAGGAUCUCAUGCAGUGGAGGACGCAGGUGUGCAAGCUGCCAGGCUUCGCUCAGUGGGAUCAGAUCAGGAGAAAAUCCCAUACCUCCCUGGCCUUCAAAAGCAUUGUCCUUAAGAUAAGUGCUGACUUGAAA
This 1849-nucleotide long non-coding RNA is filed under the name Homo sapiens (human). RNAcentral's name for it is "non-protein coding lnc-KIAA0895-5:1". The record is from RNAcentral. Lineage: Eukaryota; Metazoa; Chordata; Mammalia; Primates; Hominidae.